This 1639-nucleotide small RNA is filed under the name Pongo abelii (Sumatran orangutan). Its description in RNAcentral is "retained intron". Lineage: Eukaryota; Metazoa; Chordata; Mammalia; Primates; Hominidae. The record is from RNAcentral.
GGAAGCUGUGGGACACAGAGUCUCUUGGUUUUGCAUCCAGUUCCAGCACUCAGUAGCGCUGAGAUUCUCAUUCUAAAAUGCAGAUGGAUUUUGAUUUGGUGAUUCAGAUUUUCAGGCCUGUGUCUCCAAGAUUUCAGGGGUGUGUUUCCUGGAGCUGCAAACCAAAUGGCCACACACGAAGUGGCUUAAAACAGCAGAGGUUCGUUCUCACAGCUCUGGAGGCCAGAACUCCCAACUCACGGUGUGGCCGGGGCUGGUUCCUUCUGGAGGCUCUGAGGGAGCCUCGGUCCCAGGCCCCUCCCAGCGCCCGCUGCUGGCGGGCCUCCCGGGUGCUGCCAGCCUUGUGGACACACGGCUCCAAUCUCUGCCCUCUCCUGCGCAUCUGUGUGUUUUCCUUUUCCUGUCAGCACAGCAGUCAGUGGACUUAGGGCCCCCGUGGCUCAUCCUGGACGCAUUUGUCCCAGGACCUGUCUAUCUACAAAGAUCUUUUUCCAAAUGAGGUCACAUUCAUGGGCUCUGAAGGCUAGGACCUGGCUGUAUCUUCUUGGGGUCACCCUUCAGCCCCCGACAGGAAGUGUGGCCCCAGAACCCUGGGGGUUUCCGAGCCCAUGCCCGUGUGUGGUUCUGGAAUUCUGAGGCUGAUCCUGUGGCUGGUGUCCCGGAAUUCCCUGGUCUGGCCACUCGUCCAUGCAGGCACCCUAGGGGUUCCCCGGCAGGACCCCAGAACGCCAAUCUCCGACUCCACGGGUCCAGGCGGGCUCCCGGGAGCUGAUGCCGAGGUCUCUGUCCUGCAGGUUCGGACGAAGGACGUGCUGUUUGAGAGCAUCAGCCACCUGAUCGACCACCACCUGCAGAACGGGCAGCCCAUCGUGGCCGCCGAGAGUGAGCUGCACCUGCGCGGCGUGGUCUCACGGGAGCCCUGAGCCAGGUGACCGUUCUCAGCCCCGGCUCCUGCCUGUCGUGGCCUUGGGGCUCUCAGCCCUCCUCCUGGAUCCUGGUCAGGCCGAACCGCCGCUGCCUCUCCUUCCUCCGCAUGAGCCUCUGGCAUGGUCCUUCCUCCAGCUGGCCCCCGGCUGGGCAGAGCCUCCUCCUGCCGGGGCCCCUGCCCACCCCCUCCUUUGCCUGGAGUGAGGGUGUUCAUACCAAAGACGGAACCGUUUCGCCUUUAAAGAAAAUAUAUCCAGAAGCAGCCGCUGCCUCGGAGCCCUGGCCCGUGGGUCCCCCUCUCACCGGGCUGGUUCAGUCUAAUUCCCCGGAGAGUCAGGGCUCCCCGGACCCUGGGGAGGAGGUGGAUUCCGGGCCUGGCUGGGCUUCCUUUUCCCACCUGAGGACUGGGUGCACAGUUGUCUUUGAGGGAGGACGGUUAAGGUGCUUUGGGGUUCUCAGGCCAGGACACAUGCUGGCGCUGAAGUGGAGGCAGCCUUGAGGUCACCUGGGAUCUCGGGGUAGCCAGGCCGCUCCAAGACAGUGGAUAUCGAGGCAGUCGUGAGGCCCCUACUCCACCUGGGAGCAGGGGAAGGACGUGGUUGCCUGGCCCGAGCUGCGCCCAGCAGCUUCCCCCCAAUCCCGCCCUCCCAGCUGUGGACCCAGACCGGAUGUUCGGAUCGGUUUGUAAUUAAACCUGGGAAUGGCCACAAGA